RNAcentral lists this ribosomal RNA (600 nucleotides) under Naganishia diffluens. RNAcentral describes it as "eukaryotic LSU rRNA". The stretch from base 178 to 331 matches the Rfam family "5.8S ribosomal RNA". Lineage: Eukaryota; Fungi; Basidiomycota; Tremellomycetes; Filobasidiales; Filobasidiaceae. The record is from RNAcentral.
GUGACCUGCGGAAGGAUCAUUAAUGAUUAACUGUCUGUCGAGCUUGCUCACAGACUUAUCAUAUCCAUAACACCUGUGCACUUGUCGGAUGGCUUAGUGAAGACCGCAAGGUUGGAUCUAUCCAUCUACUUUACAUAACAAUCUAGUAACAAAUGUAGUCUUAUUAUAACAUAAUAAAACUUUCAACAACGGAUCUCUUGGCUCUCGCAUCGAUGAAGAACGCAGCGAAAUGCGAUAAGUAAUGUGAAUUGCAGAAUUCAGUGAAUCAUCGAAUCUUUGAACGCACCUUGCGCUCCCUGGUAUUCCGGGGAGCAUGCCUGUUUGAGUGUCAUGAAAACCCUCAACCUUAGAUUGGUUAACACCUUUCUUUGGCUUGGAUUUGGACGUUUGCCGAUGAUAAGUCGGCUCGUCUUAAAAGUAAUAGCUGGAUCUGUCUCGCGACAUGGUUUGACUUGGCGUAAUAAGUAUUUCGCUAAGGACAUCUUCGGAUGGCCGCGUUGCAAGACUAAAGACCGCUUUCUAAUCCAUUGAUCUUCGGAUUAAUAUUCUUGACAUCUGGCCUCAAAUCAGGUAGGACUACCCGCUGAACUUAAGCAUAUC